RNAcentral lists this ribosomal RNA (814 nucleotides) under Arachnidicola sulphurea. RNAcentral's name for it is "LSU rRNA". It matches the Rfam family "Eukaryotic large subunit ribosomal RNA", at positions 114 to 958 of the family's 3401-position model. The record is from RNAcentral. Lineage: Eukaryota; Fungi; Ascomycota; Sordariomycetes; Hypocreales; Cordycipitaceae.
UUUGAAAUCUGGCCCCCAGGGUCCGAGUUGUAAUUUGUAGAGGAUGCUUUGGGCGAGGUGCCUUCCGAGUUCCCUGGAACGGGACGCCACAGAGGGUGAGAGCCCCGUAUGGUCGGACACCGAGCCUCUGUAAAGCUCCUUCGACGAGUCGAGUAGUUUGGGAAUGCUGCUCAAAAUGGGAGGUAUAUGUCUUCUAAAGCUAAAUAUUGGCCAGAGACCGAUAGCGCACAAGUAGAGUGAUCGAAAGAUGAAAAGCACUUUGAAAAGAGGGUUAAAAAGUACGUGAAAUUGUUGAAAGGGAAGCGCCCAUGACCAGACUUGGGCCCGGUGAAUCAUCCGGCGUUCUCGCCGGUGCACUUUGCCGGGCACAGGCCAGCAUCAGUUUGGGGCGGGGGACAAAGGCUCUGGGAAUGUGGCUCCCUCGGGAGUGUUAUAGCCCACCGCGUAAUACCCUGCGCCGGACUGAGGUACGCGCAUUCGCAAGGAUGCUGGCGUAAUGGUCAUCAGCGACCCGUCUUGAAACACGGACCAAGGAGUCGUCUUCGUAUGCGAGUGUUCGGGUGUCAAACCCCUACGCGGAAUGAAAGUGAACGCAGGUGAGAGCUUCGGCGCAUCAUCGACCGAUCCUGAUGUCUUCGGAUGGAUUUGAGUAAGAGCAUACGGGGCCGGACCCGAAAGAAGGUGAACUAUGCCUGUAUAGGGUGAAGCCAGAGGAAACUCUGGUGGAGGCUCGCAGCGGUUCUGACGUGCGAAUCGAUCGUCAAAUAUGGGCAUGGGGGCGAAAGACUAAUCGAACCUUCUAGUAGCUGGUUUC